AGAAUUGAAACACCUAUUCUUUAUUGAACUUGAUCUUUCUUCAACUAAUAAUACCACAGUGAAUACACCCUCAGUUUCUUAUUGAAUACUAAUAAUACAUUCUCAAGUAAUAAAAGAAAAAAACAUGUACUAUAAAUUAUUUGUAGGAUGCUAAGAAUUUUAUUUUACACACUAAAAAACUAAUAAAUAAGAGUUUGGAUCCAUGCUGCGAUGGAGCAAAAUCAAAGUCGUUUAUCAAAAUUUAGAUUCAAGUUAUACUUAACUAAAUUUUGAUUCAACGGCUCUGCAGUUGCUACACCUGUUGCAGAC
This 309-nucleotide long non-coding RNA is filed under the name Trifolium pratense (red clover). RNAcentral describes it as "long non-coding RNA (TPRA_LNC012913)". Lineage: Eukaryota; Viridiplantae; Streptophyta; Magnoliopsida; Fabales; Fabaceae. The record is from RNAcentral.